RNAcentral lists this unclassified non-coding RNA (195 nucleotides) under uncultured Sebacinaceae. RNAcentral's name for it is "sequence contains ITS1". Lineage: Eukaryota; Fungi; Basidiomycota; Agaricomycetes; Sebacinales; Sebacinaceae. The record is from RNAcentral.
AUGAAUUUGAAUCGCCUUUUAGUCGUGCUGGCUUUGCAAGUGCACACUAAUUGGUUUCAUCCAACACCCUUGUGCACCUUUGGCCUCGCGUUGUAAUGUGCCUCGGUCUUUUAGGCCUUGGUGCGGAUCGCGCGAGGAUAUUACACAAAAUCGUAUGUAACAGAAUGUAGAUCUAGUGCGUAAGCACGAAAUGUA